RNAcentral lists this ribosomal RNA (341 nucleotides) under uncultured bacterium. Its description in RNAcentral is "bacterial SSU rRNA". It matches the Rfam family "Bacterial small subunit ribosomal RNA", at positions 30 to 372 of the family's 1533-position model. The record is from RNAcentral.
AUUGAACGCUGGCGGCAUGCCUUACACAUGCAAGUCGAACGGCAGCGGGCCUUCGGGUGCCGGCGAGUGGCGAACGGGUGAGUAAUGCACCGGAACGUGCCAUUGAGUGGGGGGAUAACGUAGCGAAAGUUACGCUAAUACCGCAUAUUCUGUGAGCAGGAAAGCAGGGGACCGCAAGGCCUUGCGCUCUUUGAGCGGCCGAUGUCAGAUUAGCUAGUUGGUGAGGUAAAGGCUUACCAAGGCGACGAUCUGUAGCGGGUCUGAGAGGAUGAUCCGCCACACUGGGAACUGAGACACGGUCCAGACUCCUACGGGAGGCAGCAUGGGGAAUUUUGGACAAU